GCAUCGGAACGUAUCCCCGUAGUGGGGGACAACCCAGCGAAAGCUGGGCUAAUACCGCAUAUGCUCUACGGAGGAAAGCAGGGGACCUGAAAGGGCCUUGUGCUAUGGGAGCGGCCGAUGUCCGAUUAGCUAGUUGGUGAGGUAAAGGCUUACCAAGGCGACGAUCGGUAGCUGGUCUGAGAGGAUGAUCAGCCACACUGGGACUGAGACACGGCCCAG
This 219-nucleotide ribosomal RNA is filed under the name uncultured bacterium. RNAcentral's name for it is "partial 16S ribosomal RNA". It matches the Rfam family "Bacterial small subunit ribosomal RNA", at positions 115 to 334 of the family's 1533-position model. The record is from RNAcentral.